GCCGGACCUGACUGCUAUCGGAUUGAUACUAAGCCAUGCGAGUCAUUGUAGCAAUACAAGGCAGACGGCUCAGUAACGCGUAGUCAACCUACCCUAUGGACGGGAAUAACCUCGGGAAACUGAGUAUAAUGCCCGAUAGAACAUUAUGCCUGGAAUGGUUUAUGUUCCAAAUGAUUUAUCGCCGUAGGAUGGGACUGCGGCCUAUCAGUUUGUUGGUGAGGUAAUGGCCCACCAAGACUAUUACAGGUACGGGCUCUGAGAGGAGUAGCCCGGAGAUGGGUACUGAGACACGGACCCAGGCCCUAUGGGGCGCAGCAGGCGAGAAAACUUUGCAAUGUGCGAAAGCACGACAAGGUUAAUCCGAGUGGUUUCUGCUAAAGGAACCUUUUGUUAGUCCUAAAAACACUAACGAAUAAGGGGUGGGCAAGUUCUGGUGUCAGCCGCCGCGGUAAAACCAGCACCUCAAGUGGUCAGGAUGAUUAUUGGGCCUAAAGCAUCCGUAGCCUGCUCUGUAAGUUUUCGGUUAAAUCUGUAUGCUCAACAUACAGGCCGCCGGGAAUACUGCAGGGCUAGGGAGUGGGAGAGGUAGACGGUACUCGGGAGGAAGUGGUAAAAUGCUUUGAUCUCUCGAUGACCACCUGUGGCGAAGGCGGUCUACCAGAACACGUCCGACGGUGAGGGAUGAAAGCUGGGGGAGCAAACCGGAUUAGAUACCCGGGUAGUCCCAGCCGUAAACUAUGCAAACUCAGUGAUGCAUUGGCUUGUGGCCAAUGCAGUGUUGCAGGGAAGCCGUUAAGUUUGCCGCCUGGGAAGUACGUACGCAAGUAUGAAACUUAAAGGAAUUGGCGGGGGAGCACCACAAGGGGUGAAGCCUGCGGUUCAAU
RNAcentral lists this ribosomal RNA (884 nucleotides) under uncultured marine group I thaumarchaeote. RNAcentral describes it as "SSU rRNA". It matches the Rfam family "Archaeal small subunit ribosomal RNA", at positions 16 to 906 of the family's 1478-position model. Lineage: Archaea; Thermoproteati; Nitrososphaerota. The record is from RNAcentral.